This 460-nucleotide ribosomal RNA is filed under the name uncultured bacterium. Its description in RNAcentral is "partial 16S ribosomal RNA". It matches the Rfam family "Bacterial small subunit ribosomal RNA", at positions 338 to 795 of the family's 1533-position model. The record is from RNAcentral.
CCUACGGGAGGCAGCAGUGAGGAAUAUUGGUCAAUGGACGAGAGUCUGAACCAGCCAAGUAGCGUGAAGGAUGACUGCCCUAUGGGUUGUAAACUUCUUUUAUAUGGGAAUAAAGUGUUCCACGUGUGGGCUUUUGUAUGUACCAUAUGAAUAAGGAUCGGCUAACUCCGUGCCAGCAGCCGCGGUAAUACGGAGGAUCCGAGCGUUAUCCGGAUUUAUUGGGUUUAAAGGGAGCGUAGGUGGGUUGUUAAGUCAGUUGUGAAAGUUUGCGGCUCAACCGGAAAAUUGCAGUUGAAACUGGCAGUCUGGAGUACAGUAGAGGUGGGCGGAAUGCGGGGUGUAGCGGUGAAAUGCUUAGAUAUCACGAAGAACUCCGAUUGCGAAGGCAGUACGCUGGACUGCAACUGACACUGAGGCUCGAAAGUGUGGGUAUCAAACAGGAUUAGAUACCCCGGUAGUC